This 253-nucleotide ribosomal RNA is filed under the name uncultured bacterium. RNAcentral describes it as "partial 16S ribosomal RNA". It matches the Rfam family "Bacterial small subunit ribosomal RNA", at positions 524 to 776 of the family's 1533-position model. The record is from RNAcentral.
UACAGAGGUCUCAAGCGUUGUUCGGAUUCAUUGGGCGUAAAGGGUGCGUAGGCGGCGCGGUAAGUCGGAUGUGAAAGCCCUGGGCUCAACCCAGGAAGUGCACUCGAAACUGCGAGGCUAGAGUAUCGGAGAGGUUGGUGGAAUUCUCGGUGUAGAGGUGAAAUUCGUAGAUAUCGAGAGGAACACCGGUGGCGAAGGCGGCCAACUGGACGAAUACUGACGCUGAGACACGAAAGCGUGGGGAGCAAACAGG